Molecule: ribosomal RNA, 253 nt
Filed under: uncultured bacterium
Lineage: Bacteria
Description: partial 16S ribosomal RNA
Rfam family: Bacterial small subunit ribosomal RNA
Source: RNAcentral
UACGUAGGGUGCAAGCGUUAAUCGGAAUUACUGGGCGUAAAGGGCUCGUAGGCGGCCAACUAAGUCAGACGUGAAAUCCCUCGGCUUAACCGGGGAACUGCAUCUGAUACUGGAUGGCUUGAGUUCGGGAGAGGGAUGCGGAAUUCCAGGUGUAGCGGUGAAAUGCGUAGAUAUCUGGAGGAACACCGGUGGCGAAGGCGGCAUCCUGGACCGACACUGACGCUGAGGAGCGAAAGCCAGGGGAGCAAACGGG